This 783-nucleotide ribosomal RNA is filed under the name Lactobacillus sp. BS-36. RNAcentral describes it as "bacterial SSU rRNA". It matches the Rfam family "Bacterial small subunit ribosomal RNA", at positions 25 to 777 of the family's 1533-position model. Lineage: Bacteria; Bacillati; Bacillota; Bacilli; Lactobacillales; Lactobacillaceae. The record is from RNAcentral.
CAGGACGAACGCUGGCGGCGUGCCUAAUACAUGCAAGUCGAACGAAACUUUCUUACACCGAAUGCUUGCAUUCACCGUAAGAAGUUGAGUGGCGGACGGGUGAGUAACACGUGGGUAACCUGCCUAAAAGAAGGGGAUAACACUUGGAAACAGGUGCUAAUACCGUAUAUCUCUAAGGAUCGCAUGAUCCUUAGAUGAAAGAUGGUUCUGCUAUCGCUUUUAGAUGGACCCGCGGCGUAUUAACUAGUUGGUGGGGUAACGGCCUACCAAGGUGAUGAUACGUAGCCGAACUGAGAGGUUGAUCGGCCACAUUGGGACUGAGACACGGCCCAAACUCCUACGGGAGGCAGCAGUAGGGAAUCUUCCACAAUGGACGCAAGUCUGAUGGAGCAACGCCGCGUGAGUGAAGAAGGUCUUCGGAUCGUAAAACUCUGUUGUUAGAGAAGAACACGAGUGAGAGUAACUGUUCAUUCGAUGACGGUAUCUAACCAGCAAGUCACGGCUAACUACGUGCCAGCAGCCGCGGUAAUACGUAGGUGGCAAGCGUUGUCCGGAUUUAUUGGGCGUAAAGGGAACGCAGGCGGUCUUUUAAGUCUGAUGUGAAAGCCUUCGGCUUAACCGGAGUAGUGCAUUGGAAACUGGAAGACUUGAGUGCAGAAGAGGAGAGUGGAACUCCAUGUGUAGCGGUGAAAUGCGUAGAUAUAUGGAAGAACACCAGUGGCGAAAGCGGCUCUCUGGUCUGUAACUGACGCUGAGGUUCGAAAGCGUGGGUAGCAACAGAUA